RNAcentral lists this ribosomal RNA (429 nucleotides) under Chloroflexota bacterium. RNAcentral describes it as "Chloroflexi bacterium partial 16S ribosomal RNA". It matches the Rfam family "Bacterial small subunit ribosomal RNA", at positions 355 to 776 of the family's 1533-position model. The record is from RNAcentral. Lineage: Bacteria; Bacillati; Chloroflexota.
UGGGGAAUAUUGCACAAUGGGCGCAAGCCUGAUGCAGCCAUGACGCGUGUGUGAAGAAGGCCUUCGGGUUGUAAAGCACUUUCAGCGGGGAGGAAGGCGAUAAGGUUAAUAACCUUGUCGAUUGACGUUACCCGCAGAAGAAGCACCGGCUAACUCCGUGCCAGCAGCCGCGGUAAUACGGAGGGUGCAAGCGUUAAUCGGAAUUACUGGGCGUAAAGCGCACGCAGGCGGUCUGUCAAGUCGGAUGUGAAAUCCCCGGUCUCAACCUGGGAACUGCAUUCGAAACUGGCAGGCUAGAGUCUUGUAGAGGGGGGUAGAAUUCCAGGUGUAGCGGUGAAAUGCGUAGAGAUCUGGAGGAAUACCGGUGGCGAAGGCGGCCCCCUGGACAAAGACUGACGCUCAGGUGCGAAAGCGUGGGGAGCAAACAGG